Helianthus annuus (common sunflower) is the source of this 125-nucleotide long non-coding RNA. RefSeq lists it as uncharacterized. The record is from RefSeq and is a predicted model, not a curated record. NCBI's taxonomy places the organism in Eukaryota, Viridiplantae, Streptophyta, Magnoliopsida, Asterales, Asteraceae. The transcript has 3 exons.
AGCGAGGGAGUUGGUUCUACCGGAUAGUAGUUGUUUGAAGUAUAAAAACUCAAAAUUUGGGGAGUCUUCAAGUUCAGGGCAUAAUUGGGUAGAAGCAGUUGCAGCCAAACGAGAAGGGAUCUUGG